UAGCAAGUCGGUCCCACCCCUUCCCAUCCCGAACAGGACCGUGAAACGACUUUGCGCCGAUGAUAGUGCUGCAACCAGUGUGAAAGUAGGUUAUCGUCAGGC
This 102-nucleotide ribosomal RNA is filed under the name Massilia sp. IC2-477. Lineage: Bacteria; Pseudomonadati; Pseudomonadota; Betaproteobacteria; Burkholderiales; Oxalobacteraceae. The record is from RNAcentral. RNAcentral also lists the same sequence under 1 other name.